AGAGUUUGAUCUUGGCUCAGAUUGAACGCUGGCGGCAGGCCUAACACUUGCAAGCCGACGGGAACAGGGAAGCACUUGGUGGUUUCCUUGACGAGGGCGGGACGGGGGAUAAUGGCUGGGAAACUGGCUGAAGGGGGGGGAUAACUACUGGAAACGGGAUCUAAUACCGCGUAACGUCGCAAGACCAAAGAGGGGGACCUUCGGGCCUCUUGCCAUCGGAUGUGCCCAGAUGGGAUUAGCUAGUAAGUGGGGUAACGGCUCACCUAGGCGACGAUCCCUAGCUGGUCUGAAAGGAUGACCAGCCACACUGGAACUGAGACACGGUCCAGACUCCUACGGGAGGCAGCAGUGGGGAAUAUUGCACAAUGGGCGCAAGCCUGAUGCAGCCAUGCCGCGUGUAUGAAGAAGGCCUUCGGGUUGUAAAGUACUUUCAGCGGGGAUGAAAGGAGUAAAGUUAAUACCUUUGCUCAUUGACGUUACCCGCACAAGAAGCACCGGCUAACUCCGUGCCAGCAGCCGCGGUAAUACAGAGGGUGCAAGCGUUAAUCGGAGUUACUGGACGUAAAGCGCACGCAUGCGGUUUGUUAAGUCUUAUGUGAAAUCCCCGGGCUCAUCCUGUGAACUGCAUCUGAUACUGGCAAGCUUGAGUCUCAUAGAGGGGGUUUAGAUUCCGGGUGUAGCGGUGAUUUGUGUU
This 694-nucleotide ribosomal RNA is filed under the name bacterium LWA-2-1. RNAcentral describes it as "bacterial SSU rRNA". It matches the Rfam family "Bacterial small subunit ribosomal RNA", at positions 8 to 692 of the family's 1533-position model. The record is from RNAcentral.